Long non-coding RNA from Nycticebus coucang (slow loris), 3184 nucleotides. RefSeq lists it as uncharacterized. The transcript has 2 exons. Lineage: Eukaryota; Metazoa; Chordata; Mammalia; Primates; Lorisidae. The record is from RefSeq and is a predicted model, not a curated record.
AAAAAAAAAAAAGAGUGAAAUAGUGGAUGGUCUAACUUAAUUGUAGACUGAACCGGCUGAUACAUAUGUUCUCGUCUGCCUGUACAAAAGGCACAAAGCCACGGAGAAUUCCACAUUUUGGACACUGUCCCUCUAACUCUGAAGGCCACGUGCUCAGCCUGGGCACUGUUGGCUGUGGAGCUGUUGUAUGCUCUGCAAGGUAUUUCAGCAGCAUCUACCCCACUCCCAAGUCCUGAUGAUCAAAACGUCUCCAGAUUUUGCCAGGUGUCCCCAGGGAAAAACUGUCCUCAUCUGAGAACCAAUGGGAUAGACUUAAAAAUGUGAGGGGUGGGCAGCGCCUUCCACUGCCCUGACAGGUUUGAGAUUUGCCCCUCCCUCGUUGGGUCAGCGCCAGGGCAUGGGCAGAAGGACCUGUCAGGGUUGACUCCUGCCAACUAGACUCAUUACAACCAGCUCCUUCAGGAGUUACUGGAAGAACUUGAGGCUAGGAUUCCCAUUCCUCCCUGCCUGACUGCCUAGCUGGGUACCCAGCAUGUGAUUACUCACUGCUGAGGGGUGAAUGAACAUUAGUGACAGCUCCUUGCAUCUGUCACGGCUCAGGUGACCUGGUCAGUGUCCUGCAGCCUUGCUGGACACAGGCACUCCAGUUCUCAUUUUUAGACUCCUCGUUGACUAAAACCUAUUACCCUGGUCACCCCCAACCCUGAUUUCUUAAUUCAGCAGGCUAGGCACUGGAUUUUCCCUUCAGUCCCCAUGGGGCUGAGUUCCCUUGUGGGGCUGGCUGGUGAGCCGCUCCCUACAGUGGGGUGAGUGUGAGAUUGUUUGGCACCUAGCCAGGCCCCGCCCCCGGUGAGCCCCAAGUGUGACCGUUUGACCUUCUGAUGCAGAGUAAGCCGCAGGCUCAGAUGGUGGCUUCUAGAAAGGCAGAGGCUGUCAGCUCACCUUUGACUGCCUUCCAUCUCCUGACCUGGAUGUUGGCUAGGAGUGGGGUCUGUCUUACCUUUGGGUAUGGAGCCUUUUACUCAUGACUACUGGGAUAUAAUCUAUGUCUUGAUCUCUUUUAGGGCCAGUAUGGAAAUUACCAGCAGUAAGGGACAAGCAUCCUCAGUGGAGCCCAGUGGUCGCAUGCUCAUCCAGAGGACGGAUGGGCUGGUGGCAGUUCUGAUGAAUUGUGACAUGUUGGUCACUCCUUCGCCCAGUGCCACGUCUGCAUGUGAAGCGUGCUCAUUUUAUGCUGGGUGUGAUGCAGAGUGUGCACUGCCGGCGCGAGGCGGCGCCGUGGUGGUGACACAUCUGGUGCUGUGUAGAGUACUGUAUGUUGAAACGGUAGAGAGGUUGUACUGUUUUUGUCCCCCACCCUUCUCGAUGUUUGGGGAUCAUUUUAUCAUCAGAGUAUUCUGUGCCCAGUGGUGGGACACACCUAGAAGACACCGCAGUCUUCGUGUUCCUGUGAACAGACCCUGGUCCCCUCCCCUCCACAUUUGUCACAUUGUGGGUUGUACCUUACUCUUUCACUAGCUGCCCAGCAGCCUCUUCCUGGGCCUCCACAGCAGCUGGGAGGGCGCCUUCUGUGUUUGGGCAGUUUCAGUUACUUAGUGAAAGCACGCAGGACAGGCCACAGGUGGUCUUUUCCAGAACUUGAUCUUACCUCUGUCUCUUGCCAGUUCCAUUCAUCCAGAAAGGUGUAUGUUUUUGUAUUAAAAAGUAAAGAGGGAUCAAUGACUAUAAUCCAAAUAAAUAAUGAACCUGCAAGAGCAGUGUACGAUUAGCCUAACCCAGGAAGAGGGGUGGUUUCCUGGGAACUGGGUUGUGAUUGGGAAUUACUCUGGCUAUCUGAUGGUCAUUUCUGGGAUUUGAACAUUUAAUAUGCCCAAUCCUAAAUGUAUAGAUAAUUUAAAAUAUUGAUACCAAGUUUUCCAAAUAGUUGGCAAGUUGUUUAUUUUAUUUCUUCCAGGACCUACUUGUUCAGAUCUCCAAGCAAGCGUUCCUUUUCUUUUAGGGAUAUCUGAAAUUCACAUCUUACUUUUAAAAGGAACCCAAAUAAUUUUAUUGUGUUCUUUCUAAUGAAAAGCAAAGGUUUUAUAUAGAAAACUUCUAAGUAAUUUUUACAUUCCUAGAACAUUUGAUCCCAUUUAAAUUCUGUGCAAACAUUCUUUAAUGUUUAACGACAGCUCGCUUGGAAAAGUGUGGUCAAAGGGAAGAGUUCUGCACUUCCACUAAUCAGUGGCAUGGACAUUCGAUCAGCCUUUACUCGGAUAAUGAUAUUUAUAUUUACUAUGAAUCUUUUUUCAAAAAAUCUUUGGAUAAAUCCUGACAUAUUUCCCAUAACUGCCAAGAAAAUACAAAAAUAUCCAAUACUUGUUAUGUUACACCUGCUGCUGCUGUUUUUCUUUAAUUGAUAAUUUUAUGUUUUAAAAAUGAAAAGUAAUACUUUAUCAGAGUUGAGUGCUUUAGAAUUCUCAAGGCCCUUUUAGGGGUUUUGCUUGAUUUAAUCUUGACAGCCCAUGGGCAAAUUGUGGAGGCAGCUGCUAGUCCCAUUCUACACAUGGAGAACCAAGACUCAGACUUCAGGACUUGCCUGUGCUGAGUACCAGUCCCAUUCUGGGACAUUCUCCCCUCCUGUAAGAUAUCACACAAAAAUGAGGAUAGAAGCAUUUAUUUGGUAGGCAUAAGGGUUUAAAAAAACCCUUAACACUUGGUAAGGGCUUAAAAAAUAUAUGUAUAUAUCUGUGUUACAUUACUGCAAUGAGAGUUCUUAAAUGACAAAAGUACUAGCCAUUUCAUUUAGGGAGUCAUCUCCCUUGAUUUUAUUCUCUUCCUUUUUGACAAUUUUCAUAGAACUAAUUUGCAACUCAAUUGGGGACUAAAAAUUUCCCAUUGAAAAUGUUAAACAUUUUAGAUAACUGUGAAAAUAGUUUAUUUUUAUUCCUUGCCGAUCUGGGAAUAUGCCUUGUGUGUGUGUGUGUUGUUGUUGUUUUUUUAAGUGCUGUAUUAAUACUUUUUUUUUAAGAGGACAUUUUAAAAACUUAUCUCAGAACUUCAGUCUGAAAUGUCUUACAUUAAGAAUAUCUUGAAUGUUGUGUAUAUAUUUUAAAAAGCACUUUGAGAAAUAGUUUGUACAUUUUUUCCUAAUUUAUACAUGAUUUUUGGUGUUAAUAUAUUUAAUGAUUAAUAACAAUGUUUA